Zingiber officinale is the source of this 106-nucleotide small nucleolar RNA. NCBI's taxonomy places the organism in Eukaryota, Viridiplantae, Streptophyta, Magnoliopsida, Zingiberales, Zingiberaceae. The record is from RefSeq and is a predicted model, not a curated record.
AGGCCAUGAUGGGGGCAUUGUCUCUGUAUACUCUUGAACCGGUCCCAGGCUUCAAAUAGGGAUUCUGAAUCUAUCUUCUUGAAACUGGCAAUCAAGUUCCUCAUGU